CUUUCUCAAGGCAAUAUGUACUGACUCACACCUCAAUUUCUUUUCCCCUUUUCACUUAUUUUCUGUCUCAUUCUCUUCUUCAUCAAACCCUCCCUCUUUCUCUCAAUAUAUACAAAAAAUCCCACCAAGCCAAAGAAAAAAAGGGAAAAAAAUGGAGGUUUUGUUGAUUUUGGUAGUGACAGCAGCAAUAUUUUGCUUGUGCAAAAUCAGAAAUUGGUGGAACUUCAACAGCACCACCAAAUCAUCAAAGAUUCCUUUGGGCAGCUUUGGAAUAUUCCCUUUUGUCGGAGAAACAAUUCACUUCAUCUCUUCCGCUUAUUCCGACCAGCCGGAGAGCUUCGUCGACAAACGCCGCCGCACGUAUGGGAAAGUUUUCAAAUCACAUUUAUUUGGUAGUCCUACUAUAGUGUCGAGUGAUGCAGAAGUGAGCAAAAUAAUUCUUCAAAGUGAUGCAAGAACAUUCAUCCCAUCUUACCCCAAAAAUCACAUGCAAAUCAUUAAUUGCGCUAUGCUUGUUAAUUUUAUAUUCUUUGUCCACAAAAAUUUAUCUAUUCUAAUUUGCAUAAAAUUUUUUCAUCACACACUACAUUACUAAUGAUAUGUUCCAACUAUCCACUAAUAUUAUUUCAACAAAAUUUUUCUUUCUCUCUCAUAGUAUUUUGCACUUUUUUCAAGCUACGAUCAAUGCGCUUUAAUAGUUUAAUGGAGGCAAAACUAAUUUAAUAGUUUGGCGAUUAAGAGAUAUAAUGUGUUUGCUAUAACAUGUAUCAAUUUGUAUCUUUGUAUUUUUACUUUUAUUAUAAUAUUUGUAAUCUCUUUAUCUUUUAAAUAAUAGAAACAUUGGGUA
Salvia splendens (bonfire salvia) is the source of this 847-nucleotide long non-coding RNA. RefSeq lists it as uncharacterized. NCBI's taxonomy places the organism in Eukaryota, Viridiplantae, Streptophyta, Magnoliopsida, Lamiales, Lamiaceae. The transcript is spliced from 2 exons. The record is from RefSeq and is a predicted model, not a curated record.